Molecule: ribosomal RNA, 253 nt
Filed under: uncultured bacterium
Lineage: Bacteria
Description: partial 16S ribosomal RNA
Rfam family: Bacterial small subunit ribosomal RNA
Source: RNAcentral
UACAGAGGUCCCAAGCGUUGUUCGGAUUCAUUGGGCGUAAAGGGUGCGUAGGCGGCGCGGUAAGUCGGGUGUGAAAUCUCGGGGCUUAACUCCGAAACUGCAUUCGAUACUGCCGUGCUUGAGGACUGGAGAGGAGACUGGAAUUUACGGUGUAGCGGUGAAAUGUGUAGAUAUCGUAAGGAAGACCAGUGGCGAAGGCGGGUCUCUGGACAGUUCCUGACGCUGAGGCACGAAGGUCAGGGGAGCAAACGGG